Crotalus tigris (Tiger rattlesnake) is the source of this 3026-nucleotide long non-coding RNA. RefSeq lists it as uncharacterized. The record is from RefSeq and is a predicted model, not a curated record. NCBI's taxonomy places the organism in Eukaryota, Metazoa, Chordata, Lepidosauria, Squamata, Viperidae. The transcript is spliced from 3 exons.
CAUGUUAACAAAUGUGGGAAUAUCAUUUAGAAAUUAAUGCUGGCCAUAGUAUUGCAUGUGCUUAUAGAGUAAAGGAAUUUACAAGGAAGCAGAAUUCACAGAGUGUCCUUGGUGUGAUGGGCCCAGGCGCUUUGGUCACACUUCAUUUGUUAAGAGCAGGGGGCAGGAAACAGCAAAAAGUAACAAUGACUGCUUACUGACAUCUUUCUCUUUCCUGUCACUUCCUUUUCAGGCCACAAUUUUAUCUCCCAAUUUGUAGUCGACGGGUUUUACUUAGUAAUUCAUCACAUUGGUUUUUUUCACCUGUUUUUGACCAUCAGGUAGUUGAACCCAGUCAUGCAAAAGUGUGUUUAAUUUAUCAAAAGAAGUAGUCAUUAGAGGAGCUGCAUUUGUCUUGACAUCUCAACAAUGAUUACCAGACCAAGAUAAAAUCAAACCACUGGUAUGAAACGAAAUAGCUGCAUAGAAACCACACUGAAAAAAUACCUCUUCUAAAAUAGCUUGUUUCCUGACAGAUGUUUUUGCAAGCUGUGGAAGGGAAAAAUUGUUUAUGAACUCUGAAGCGCUCCAAGAGCGUUGCAUAUCUAAGCGCUUUUUUGUAGAGACAAUCCAAGAGAAUAGUAGAAAGGAACAGGAGCUCAACAGGAAACAAACCCAUUACUGCCAGGUGAGCAGUGACCAAAUUAUGGAGGAUCUUGAGCCCAGAAUUUCUUUGCCACAAAAUCGUGAAUGGGAGGAAAUCUGCAUUCAUCUAGUCCUGGUUAAAGCCUUACAAGAUAGCCUGAAUUCAAACUAUUAUUUGGUAUCAUAAGACCAUUUUCUAUACAUAAUGCACAAAAAAAUGCUUCAAGGAACAAAAUAUGGAAAAGGGUAAAUGUCAGUGUUUGUGUAUGUUAUAAAACAAAGUCUCCCAAACAAACAUAAAGCUUCAUCUGUGUACAAAAUAAUUUAUUUAAAUCCAGUGGCAUUCAAUUAGUUACAUACAAAACUUUCCAGCAUAUUUUAUUUGCUCUUUAAACUGCUGUUUACAUCACAAUAUAAAUAAAUAUAUAAAUACAUAAAACAUAAAUAAUAUCACAUAUCUAGAUUUUUUUAAACUUCAGUUUUAAAAAAAUCCUCAGCCUCAGUAGAUAAAUACAUUUGCCUAAAUCACAUUUCUUAUCUCUUCUCCACCAAUCGAUCAAUAUUUUUAUUACAAUUAAAUUAUACUGCAGGGUUCCAUUGUCCAAAGUGCUGGCAACAGGGGCAGCUGCCUUUUAUUUCUUUAAUGAGACACAGUAACACUGUCUUUCAGGAGAAAGAACAUCUCAUAAUUUCUAUCUUUCCUCAAGUUCCCUCAACUUUCCCUCAAAACUUUCCCUCUGAAAAUGAAAUAUUAGAUAGGAAUAUUAGAUAAGAUCCCAGAGGUCUACAUGUUAUUCCGCAGGAAUUGUCUCUCCCCGUUUCCAUUCUUCAGUCUUUUACAUUUUACUUUAGUUUGUCUUCUCCAACUUGAUCCUUUCUAAAUAUGUUGGAUUUGAGCUCCAAAGUCUUUUAGAAAUAUGGCUAAUUCCUUCCUUUGGAUGGUAGAUAACAAGCAGAACAACACAACAACAACAAAAGAUUCUAAAGCCAAGGAAGUACUAGAAGAAAUGAUAGCAGAGAUGUUCCAAUACAAGGCUUCUCCAUGGUUACAGUGUAGAUAUUGCAAGCAUCUGAUUUUACGCAGAGUGUUCAUUUUCAAAGUUAUGUUAUUAUUCAAAAUAACCAGAUAAACAUUAAGAUUAGCAAAAUAAGGGAUUUCCACAGCAGAAAUAAAUAUACUGUAUAUAUGUUAUGAUAAAAGACAUAUAAUUUAAUAUUACUUUAAAUAAAUAAAUAGAUAAAUAAUAUUCAUUUGUGCACAUAUUUGAAAAACAUGUAGUUAAUUCCUCUUUAGUCAGUAGUACAUCCUAAGGAGUAUUCAGUAGUAACUAAGCUUUCAAUCCUUCGAUCCUCCAAACACUAAGCUGGGAGUAAAUUUCAGGGACUUUGCACUAUUUGUUUCCAUAAUUUUGCAUAUAUCUGUUCUUUAAAACCGCUUCAUAUUCUAAUUUACAAAGAAUGGGAUUCCCCUCCCUCCUUUUUUGAGAUAUUUUACUGAAAGUUCACAAACGUCUAGGCUAUCUUCACAAUAAUCCAGAAAGGGUUUUUUGAGUGGAGAUCUGGAUGGUUUAGGACAGUAUACUUUGUCCCUUAGUUGCUUUUCAAAAGUUCAGGCAGUUCACGUAGGAAGUCACCAAGCUCCUCCAGGAAUUUAUUGGUGCUUAUAAUUGAUAUCUCACAAUCCUCAUUGUCCUUUAAUUAAAAAAAAAAAAGAGAAAGUUGUGUUUAAAAAAACAGGAUUUUCAGUCUCCUAUAUUCUUCCUUCCAGAAGCAAGAAUGCAACAGUGUUCUCCUCUUCACUCUGGGGUUUUGAGGGUGAUGGGGUUUAAGAUACUUAAGCAAAAGGAAUCCUAUGAAAAAAGAGGUUGGGAAUGCAUCUUGCAAAGUGCUUGCCAAUCAUUAUGAGUCCCAUCACACUCCAUGGUUUUCCUUUGUAAUUAUUAGCUAUGGAGCUGGUGCGUAUCUUGCAUGAUUUGCUUUUAAACACAGACAUGUGGUGAAAUGAAGCUGGAUUCACUCUAUUGGACUGAACCAGGAAAAUGAUUGGUUUGGUUUGGUCUGCCUCAUUGUAGUUACACAUAAUACAAUAUAUCAUGUGAUCAGUACAAUGUACUGAUAUUCUGAUCUGCGAUGAAGAUUAUGGUAUAUUACACAAAAUAGUGAACUACAGUUAAGAACCAUGAUUUAGCCUGAUGUGGAAACCAGUUUGUAUGAGUAUACUUGACAUACCAAUUGUAUGUCAAAUCAAAUGAUCUUUAUGGUCAUUUUUACUCUCAUAAAAAAUAAAUGUUAAGGCUUUAUAAAGUGUUAGAUUCCAUUCCUUAAAGACAUUUUGAAAUGUCCAGGAAUGUGAAUAUAGCAGUUAUUUGGAACAGUUUCCCUGAGAUCUUGUGACAGCUGUC